Molecule: ribosomal RNA, 253 nt
Filed under: uncultured bacterium
Lineage: Bacteria
Description: partial 16S ribosomal RNA
Rfam family: Bacterial small subunit ribosomal RNA
Source: RNAcentral
UACGUAGGGCGCAAGCGUUGUCCGGAAUUAUUGGGCGUAAAGAGCUCGUAGGCGGUUUGUUACGUCCGCUGUGAAAACCCAGGGCUUAACCCUGGGCUUGCAGUGGAUACGGGCAGACUAGAGGUAGGUAGGGGAGAAUGGAAUUCCCGGUGUAGCGGUGAAAUGCGCAGAUAUCUGGAGGAACACCGGUGGCGAAGGCGGCAUCCUGGACCGGCAUUGACGCUGAGGCGCGAAAGCGUGGGGAGCAAACAGG